This is a long non-coding RNA of Ipomoea triloba (trilobed morning glory), 1173 nucleotides long. RefSeq lists it as uncharacterized. The transcript is spliced from 2 exons. Lineage: Eukaryota; Viridiplantae; Streptophyta; Magnoliopsida; Solanales; Convolvulaceae. The record is from RefSeq and is a predicted model, not a curated record.
CUCUCCGUAUCGCAGAUUCGCAACCAUCAUCUCGCAGCCACCGCCGGCGACGCACCAAUCAACCGCCAGUCUAAAAUGAAAAGAUUGUACGGUUACUCUGCGGCAGAGAUAGAGAAAAAGAUGCAGAGAGGCUGUUCGCUGCUUUGCGCGAUCGAGAAAUGGCGAUUUACAUAUCUUUGAGCCACAAAUGAGGUCCGUGAGAAGUCCAAGUUCUGGUAUUUUUUGAGGAAGCUGAAGAAGGUGAAGAAAGCCAAUGGCCAGGUCCUAGCUAUCAAUGAGAUCUUUGAGAAGAACCGUACCACUAUAAGAGCAUUCCUAUCAAUAGUUUUUUCAAGGUUCAUGUCAGACAAAUAACUAAUGCAUGGCUUUGAAACUGAUGUAGGAAUGAGUUAUUGCAUUCUUGGUUGUCAGAAUAAAGAAAGAGCUGCAGUGCGCACUGUAGCCCGCUUGGGAGAUUGAGAGUGGCCGCCAGCAAAAAACUGGAGAAAAAACUCCAACUGAUAAGGAUGCUCUAAAAAAAAAUCAACCGUCAGUCUGUCGGCAAUGCACCAACCAGCCGCCAUUCCGCCGGCGACGCAGCCCCUCCACCUUGCUGAAAUUUGCCAUCCCUUUCAAUGAAUGUAUGAUCAGCAUUGCAACAAAAGAGAAGAAAGGGAAUUAAUUUUGUGGCUGACGAAAGAAGAAAAGAAAAAGAGAAAAAGGGAAUUCAUUUUGGUGGGUUGCGCGACAGUAAAGGAACCAAUUCGAGUUGUUUUUGUUUUUUCCUUUUGGGGGUGGCAGAACAAGGACGAACGAGGACGACACGGAGAAUAGAGAAGCUGACUACUACGGUAGUGCAUCAGCGAGGAGAAAUUGCAGCAGGAAGCGAAGAGAUUCAAGGCUUCGUUGUAGCGGAAUUUCGAGCUUCAAUCGCAGUUGUCUCCUUAGGCUUGGAUUACUUUUCUUCGUAUCAUUCUCUUAUCUUAUUUUAUCUAUUUUUGGUUAAAUUCCCAGAUUAGCAUUCUCAUUCUGAUGUGUCAAAAUUUCUUGAACAGUUUAUGCAUUUAAUUAUGAUUAUUGGCUAAAACUUUAAUUAGGGAUUUGGAUUAGCCUUAUAUUAGAGUAAUUGACUGCUCCCUAGGUUUGAUUCUUCUAAUUUCAAUUAAAUAAUUGAAUGUGAUUAUAUUUAUCUUA